GCAGCCACUCAUUCAAAGAGUGCGUAAUAGCUCACUGGUCGAGUGAUCCUGCGCCGAAGAUUUCCGGGGCUAAAACUUACUACCGAAGCUACGGCAUCAGUAAUGAUGGGUAGGGGAGCUUCCCAUACGGGUUGAAGCAUGACCGUAAGGACAUGUGGACAGUAUGGGAGUGAGAAUGUUGGCAUGAGUAGCGAGAUGUGGGUGAGAAUCCCACAGGCCGUAAACCCAAGGUUUCCAGGGGAAGGUUCGUCCGCCCUGGGUUAGUCGGGACCUAAGCUGAGGCCGAAAGGCGUAGGUGAUGGACAACAGGUUGAUAUUCCUGUACUACCGAUAACCAUUUGAGAGAAGGGAUGACACAGUAGGAUAAGCUAAGCACACUGUUGGUUAUGUGUGCCCAAGCAUUGAGGCAGUCAAAGUAGGCAAAUCCGCUUUGAUAAUGCUGGGAUGUGAUGGGGAGCGAAAUUUAGUAGCGAAGUAGCUGAUUUCACACUGUCAAGAAAAGUCUCUAUCGAGGUUAAAGGUACCCGUACCGCAAACCGACACAGGUGGGUGAGGAGAGUAUCCUAAGGCCAGCGAGAGAACUGUUGUUAAGGAACUCGGCAAAAUGACCCCGUAACUUAGGGAUAAGGGGUGCCACCAUCAGGUGGCCGCAGAGAAUAGGCCCAAGCGACUGUUUACCAAAAACAUAGGUUUCUGCUAAGUCGAAAUACGAUGUAUAGGAGCAGACGCAUGCCCGGUGCUGGAAGGUUAAGGGGAUCUGUUAGAGCAAUCGAAGCAGUGAACUUAAGCC
This 790-nucleotide ribosomal RNA is filed under the name Clostridioides difficile. Its description in RNAcentral is "bacterial LSU rRNA". It matches the Rfam family "Bacterial large subunit ribosomal RNA", at positions 1112 to 1919 of the family's 2925-position model. The record is from RNAcentral. Lineage: Bacteria; Bacillati; Bacillota; Clostridia; Peptostreptococcales; Peptostreptococcaceae.